This 1893-nucleotide small RNA is filed under the name Pongo abelii (Sumatran orangutan). RNAcentral's name for it is "retained intron". Lineage: Eukaryota; Metazoa; Chordata; Mammalia; Primates; Hominidae. The record is from RNAcentral.
GUGUUGAGCUCUUCUCUUCUUGGGGGUGGUGGGGGUGAGGUGGUGAGAAGACCCCAGGUCUUUGAGCAAGUGGUGGGACGCAUGGGAGAACAGAGGGACCAGGCCGGGCGCGGUGGCUCACACCUGUCAUCCCAGCACUUUGGGAGGCCGAGGCGGGUGGGUCAUCUGAGGUCAGGAGUUCAAGACCAGACUGGCCAACAUGGUGAAACCCCGUCUCUACUAAAAAUACAAAAAUUAGCCGGGCAUGGUGGCGCAUGCCUGCAAUCCCAGCUACUCAGGAGGUUGAGACAGGAGAAUCACUUGAACCUGGGAGGUGGAGGUUGCAGUGAGCUGAGAUUGCGCCGCUGCACUCCAGCCUGGGCAACAGAGUGAGACUCCGUCUCAAAAAAAAAAAAAAGAAAAACAAAAACAAAACAAACAAAAAAAAACAGAGGGACCAAAGAACUGGGGUCCCAGAUAGAAAAAAAUCUAAAGGGCAGGAAGGGGACCCCUGUAUCUGCAUCCUGGUCUAUCUCCUGGGGGAAGUUCUUAGAGGCCAAUGGAGUGUAGGUCCACUAGGGAAAGGUGACAGAGGUGUGAACAGACAGACCCUCUGUCCUGCUGACCACUUGACCCUGGAGAGGGGUGAUAUGGAAGGUCGGGGCAGUGGGAGCUCUCUAGCGGCUGCUGAUGGCUCUGUCUCCCUAGGCGGAAGGCAGGUGGCCGCCGCCGGAGCAAUGGUGCAAACAGCUCUUCUCCAGUGUGGUCCCCGUGCUGCUGGGGGACCCAGAGGAGGAGCCGGGUGGGCGGCAGCUCCUGGACCUCAAUUGCUUUUUGUCCGACAUCUCGGACACUCUCUUCACCAUGACUCAGUCCAGCCCUUCGCCCCUGCAGCUGCCGCCUGAGGAUGCCUACGUCGGCAAUGCUGACAUGAUCCAGCCGGACCUGACGCCACUGCAGCCAAGCCUGGAUGACUUCAUGGACAUCUCAGAUUUCUUUACCAACUCCCGCCCCCCACAGCCGCCCAUGCCUUCAAACUUCCCAGAGCCCCCCAGCUUCAGCCCCGUGGUUGACUCCCUCUUCAGCAGUGGGACCCUGGGCCCGGAGGUGCCCCCAGCUCCCUCGGCCAUGACCCACCUCUCCGGACACAGCCGUCUGCAGGCUCGGAACAGCUGCCCUGGCCCCUUGGACUCCAGCGCCUUCCUGAGUUCUGAUUUCCUCCUUCCUGAAGACCCCAAGCCCCGGCUCCCACCCCCUCCUGUACCCCACCUCUGCUGCAUUACCCUCCCCUGCCAAGGUGCCAAGCCUGGAGCCCUGCCCCCAACCUCCCUUCCCACCCAUGGCGCCACCCACUGCUUUGCUGCAGGAAGAGCCUCUCUUCUCUCCCAGGUUUCCCUUCCCCACCGUCCCUCCUGCCCCAGGAGUGUCUCCGCUGCCUGCUCCUGCAGCCUUCCCACCCACCCCGCAGUCAGUCCCCAGCCCGGCCCCCACCCCCUUCCCCAUAGAGCUUCUACCCUCGGGGUAUUCGGAGCCUGCCUUUGGGCCUUGCUUCUCCAUGCCCAGAGGCAAGCCCCCCGCCCCAUCCCCUAGGGGACAGAAAGCCAGCCCCCCUACCUUAGCCCCUGCCACUGCCAGUCCCCCCACCACUGCGGGAAGCAACAACCCCUGCCUCACACAGCUGCUCACGGCAGCCAAGCCGGAGCAAGCCCUGGAGCCACCACUUGUAUCCAGCACCCUCCUCCGGUCCCCAGGGUCCCCGGUAAGAUCUCAGGCACUGGGCGGUGGGGCUGUGCUCACGGCCUUCACCCCGACUCUCUGCCCUUCUCCACCCCAGCAGGAGACAGUCCCUGAAUUCCCCUGCACAUUCCUUCCCCCGACCCCAGCCCCUACACCACCCCGGCCACCUCCAGGCCC